This 210-nucleotide ribosomal RNA is filed under the name uncultured bacterium. Its description in RNAcentral is "partial 16S ribosomal RNA". It matches the Rfam family "Bacterial small subunit ribosomal RNA", at positions 524 to 732 of the family's 1533-position model. The record is from RNAcentral.
UACGUAGGGCGCAAGCGUUAUCCGGAAUUAUUGGGCGUAAAGAGCUCGUAGGCGGUUUGUCGCGUCUGCUGUGAAAACCUAAGGCUCAACCUUGGGCUUGCAGUGGGUACGGGCAGACUAGAGUGCGGUAGGGGGUGACUGGAAUUCCUGGUGUAGCGGUGGAAUGCGCAGAUAUCAGGAGGAACACCGAUGGCGAAGGCAGGUCACUGG